AUGGAGCAGCAGCCUGUGGCGGCGGCGGCGACGGAGCCGGAGGUACCGGCGGGGCUUGGGCUGACGGCCGCGGAGUACGCGCAGCUGCUGCCCACGGUGGAGGCGUACCACCGGUACGCCGUGGGGCCAGGCCAAUGCUCCUCUCUCGUGGCGCAGCGUAUCGAGGCGCCGCCAGCCGCCGUCUGGGCCAUCGUCCGCCGCUUCGACUGCCCCCAGGUGUACAAGCACUUCAUCCGCAGCUGCGCGCUCCGCCCAGACCCCGAGGCCGGCGACGAGCUCCGCCCGGGCCGCCUCCGCGAGGUCAGCGUCAUCUCCGGCCUCCCCGCCAGCACCAGCACCGAGCGCCUCGACCUCCUCGAUGACGCGCGCAGGGCCUUCGGCUUCACCAUCACCGGCGGCGAGCACCGCCUCCGCAACUACCGGUCCGUCACCACCGUCUCCGAGCUCUCCCCGGCCGCGCCCGCCGAGAUCUGCACCGUCGUCCUCGAGUCCUACGUCGUCGACGUCCCCGACGGCAACAGCGAGGAGGACACGCGCCUCUUCGCGGACACCGUCGUCAGGCUCAACCUCCAGAAGCUCAAGUCCGUCGCCGAGGCCAACGCCGCUGCCGCCGCGGCCACGCCCGCGCCGCCGGCAGAAUAA
Molecule: ribosomal RNA, 642 nt
Filed under: Triticum aestivum (bread wheat)
Lineage: Eukaryota; Viridiplantae; Streptophyta; Magnoliopsida; Poales; Poaceae
Description: partial small subunit ribosomal RNA
Source: RNAcentral